CAUAUUAGACAUCAGCUACUUGAGUUGGCAAGGGGAUUCACAAAUCAAGUUCAGGGUAGAGGUCAGAACUGCAGAUACAAAUUUGAAAGUCAUCAGCAUAGGUAUGAGCUUUAAAACCACUUGAGGGACCAGUGUAAAUUACAGAUGAGAAGCGCAAGCUCUGAGCAAAGAAAAUUGGUAAAAAGAAAGAAAAUUGGACUGCUUGUGUAUGUGUGUGUGUGUGUGUGUGUGUGAGGGUGGGAAGGGAUGUGUGUGUGUGUGUGGCAGCUAGCUAUGAUUCAUAUUGGUAUUGUGACAGAAAACUCGUCUUUAAGUGGAGUUUGGUCAUCAUUUCUUUCAGAGCCUUUCUUGAUAGUCGCUAGUACUCCAGAUUAGAGGCUACUUUAUGAUUCAUAAAAAGCUUCCUAGUGUCAACUGCACCCUUCCCAGUACAUGACACUCCUGACUUGGAGUUUGAUAAGGCUAUGCAUUUCUCUCCUUCCAGCUCCGAUGGGGUGUUUAAGAAUGAGAGCAAGUUUCUUCAGUGUUGUCGGCCCCUAUCUCUCCCAUGGCCUGCCCUCGUCUCACCUCUCACCCCUCCAAAUCAAGGCAUGUCUGAGCUCGGUCUGCCCAGGACUGUUGAUGAGCUUUCGCUUCUGCUUUGUUUCUGAACUAACAUGUGUUCUUCAGAACGGCUCGCACGGCCCCGUGGGAUUAUGACAGCUCUCAGCCGAGCUCUGCCAGCUAUUAAUAGAAAUACUAUGAGGUGAGUUUGAAAGUCAGGAUGGAAGCCUCCUAAUGCUUGUUGCCACAGUGGCCAGUUGAUGUCACUCCCAGACUUAGGGAGAAAGUAAACAUGCAGCUUGAUCGCAUGUUUGCAUGCGUGCUCAGUCGUGUCUGACUUCUGUGACCCCGUGGACUGUAUCCCGCCAGGCUCCUCUGUCC
This 924-nucleotide long non-coding RNA is filed under the name Bos indicus x Bos taurus (hybrid cattle). Its description in RNAcentral is "lncRNA (ENSBIXG00005008025.1)". The record is from RNAcentral. Lineage: Eukaryota; Metazoa; Chordata; Mammalia; Artiodactyla; Bovidae.